This 210-nucleotide long non-coding RNA is filed under the name Elaeis guineensis (African oil palm). Its description in RNAcentral is "long non-coding RNA (EGUI_LNC033598)". Lineage: Eukaryota; Viridiplantae; Streptophyta; Magnoliopsida; Arecales; Arecaceae. The record is from RNAcentral.
AAUUAUGUGCUUGUAUGAAGAUGCACAUACAUGCUUUUCAAUAACUAUAAUUUGAUCCAUUAAGCAUUGGAGGUCGAUCAAUAGAAUAACCUUCAUUAAGCAAAGAUUUUAUUUGGAUUGUCAUGAUCUUUUACUCCUAGACCACUAGAUCAACAAUAAAUAACAGAGCACCUGCUCUGAUAUCACUUAUUGCCCAGAGAUAGCAACCCA